Molecule: long non-coding RNA, 432 nt
Organism: Gracilinanus agilis (Agile Gracile Mouse Opossum)
Lineage: Eukaryota; Metazoa; Chordata; Mammalia; Didelphimorphia; Didelphidae
Exons: 3
Source: RefSeq, a predicted model, not a curated record
UCCAGCGCCCCUCGCCCAGCGGCCGCGGCGGCCCAGUCACCUGCCCGGCCUGGGGCAAGGACUCGCGGAAGCGGAAGAGGGGUGCGGGCGCGGCCUGGGCGGUGGCGGCGGCUGCAGGAGGAGGAGGGAGACUGCGGGAGAACCUUUGGCGGCCGCAAGAGCUACGGAAGAGGCGGCUGAGGCGAGACGGCCCCUUGUAUCCCCGCAUCUCUGUCAAAAAAAGUAUUCUGGAUUCCAUUAUCCCCAUGUUUACAGAUGAAGAUUCUGAUGCUGAAGAAAUGAAGUGACUUCCUCAGAGUCACACAGCUAUUGAAUGCCUGAAGUGGGAUCAAGUACAAAUUGUGUUGCCUUAGGCUUUCAAGGAGAACUGUUAUUGAAGAUGGAUCCAUUUGGUCAGAUGUAGUAUUAAAGAAUGAAGAAAGAAAAAAAUUC